Non-coding RNA from Sturnus vulgaris (Common starling), 3790 nucleotides. Lineage: Eukaryota; Metazoa; Chordata; Aves; Passeriformes; Sturnidae. The record is from RefSeq and is a predicted model, not a curated record.
CGGCGCUGGUUGCCGGGGCGGCGGAUGGCGGCGGCGGCUUCUCGAUGGCGGCGGGGCUGAGUGCCGACCCUGCACCGGCGGCCGGGACGCGGGGACUCCCCGUUCGGUGCGGGGAGGGCCAGUCCUCGGGAAAAAGGGAGGGAGAGAGAGAGGCUGAUACUGAAGCCAACUAGCUGCACUUCUGAGCGGGAAACACCGGACUGAUUUCAUGGCUUGCUUUUUAUUUCAUUAAUACUUCAUUAUCUCUGAAAAUACCUUUCGUGAAGCUCUUCUCCUAACUCUCCUAACUCCUCUUUCACGAGGUGGCUGCUGCUGUGCAAGGGAAGGAAUGGCAUGAAGUAAAUGACUCCAAUAUAAAGCAAUCUGCUGUGCCCAAGUGCCCAGUGGGCAGCACUGUCACUUUAAUAAUUCCAGGUCAAGGGAUUGCUUUCCUCGUUUUCAAUCCUCUCUUUUAAUACAUGGGAGGAUCAGAGGGACAUUAAAGACCGUAAGGCUGGGUGGCUUGCAGAUAAUAAAAAUGAAAGUGUCUGCCCAGUGACUUCUGUUGGGUUAGAGGGUGAUAUUUGAAGGCUCUUGUCUGGUCAGAAAAAAGGGAUCUUUUCAGUCAGCUGUGUAGUCACCUAAUACAUAGCUAGCAAAAUUAAUUCAAGAAGUGAAACAGCUUAAAGAGGCACUUUGGAUUGUUUUUGUCUUCCUCCUUAUUUGGAUUACUUGGGCAUUUUUAUCCUACAAAUAAUAUGUUUUUGAGCAUGUACAGGUGGAGUAUUGAGACAGCUGCCUAGAUAUGGACCGUGCCUUAAUUGUAUUGCAUAAAAUCUUUUAAUUUUCAAACUUUGCUGCCAGAAGAGGAGUUAUAAUAAGGUUUUAUAUUGCCAAGGAACGUUUGCUCUUGUAUUUUUGUAGAGUCAAAUAUAUUUUAAAGAAAUUGAAAGCAUCUCUUAAAAAGAAUCAAAAAGCUUCUUUUUCCUCCCUUUUUUUUAUUUGUGGAGAGCAUCGGAAGUCCAAUCCAAGGGAUCAGCAAGUAUUCACAGAAAUGAAGACUGAAGCUGCAUUUCCUUACUGAACUGUAAAAGUGUUCUGCAAUAGAUAGUCAGUUCCUGACCUUGCAGAGUGUUCCAGUAGUACUUCGUUAGUACCUGUAAAAAAGUGAUUGCAACCAGAUUCAGAAGUAGGAAGAAGAAUGCCAGUCAAGAAGAAAGGUGGGCUAUGAAGCUUCAUAUCUCAUAUUGCAUCUUCAUUGUGUUUGAUUGUUGAUUUCUAGUACUUAACAAUUUCAAAUUAAAAAUGCUUUAAUGGGGAAUGGAAAUAGCUUUUCUUUUGCAUUGAAAAUGGGAGAAAAAUCUGUGCACUUAAAAUAAUAAUUUUUAAAAGUAAUUUUAUGCUGUGUUUUAAGAUUUAUGUCAAAUUUGGCCUCAAAUGUUUAUUUUUGAUAAAGAUCAGACAUCCAAGAUUUUGAAUAGACACCAAGAGAAAAGCUUGAUGUUUAAUUUUAUGAGAAGCCUCUCUUACAAACGCUAAUAAAUUUUAAAACUGCAGUUUAAUCUGUUUUCUAUUUGUGACAUGUUUGGCGGAUAAACAUCAGUUAUCAGUAGCAGCAUAAAUAAAAAACAAAGUUUCAAGGCUAAUUUUAAAAAUAAGUUACGAGACCUGUGUUUUGAAGGUGAUUUGAACGUGGGUUUGUUUUUUUUUUUUCCAAAUGUGAUUUUAAUUCGCUUGAAUUUCCAUGCUUUAGUACAGUAUAAAACUACUGCUUUUAGGAUUGUAAUAUGGCAGCAUUUAAGAAAAGACAAACAGCCUUACAUUUGGCCUCUUCUCACUUCAAGUUUGUGUGUGCAGCUGUGGAAAAUGUGGCUUCCAGUCUUCAAACAACAAUUGGGAAGUAUAUGAAGGCGAAUUUUUACUCUGAAAGCACUCGCAGACCUUAGGUUUUCUGGUUUCUUGCAAAUUGGAUACCAAUUUAAAGUUUCUGGAUAUGCUAAUGGAGUAAGGGUCAUGUGAACCUUUUUUUAUUCAGCUCAUCUAUCCAGAUGUGCCUGAAUCUGAUAUAUCCCCUGGAUCUGAUGAUACAAAGUGUGGAGGAAAGGGCAAAAAAUGAAUGUUACAAAGAGAAAUGAGGAUGUAAUUGAUGUGACUUUGGAUUCUCUUCCCUAUAGGAAUAACUCCUUAGUUAUGAAUUAACAUUUACUAUAUAAAUAAUGAUAAACUGCACAGAUUGGUAAAAUUAUUUUCAUUAAAAAAGAACAAAAAAUGGGAUUUUGUGAAUGUAUUUUAAAAAAUGACACUGUAGAAAUGAAAUUUCAAACCUGAAAUAUUUUAAUAAAUGGCAUUGCCAUUCAUGGAAUCGCUUGCCAUUAUGUGUAGUAAAGGUGGAAACGUGUGUGGAGGAGUUACCUUCUUAAUAAUUGAUCCUGCUGUGCUGUAAAAGUGUCACCCUGAUGUACUGGUGAGGCUUCUUUAUCGUACCUGUUUACAGAUAAAGGAAAACUGAGGCUUUUCAUAAUUUAAAUUUUAAUCCUGAUUUAAGUAAUUUACACUGAGGAUGUUUCUGUGCUGGAUAUUCAUCUGUAAUUCAGUUUUCCAAAUACUUGCAACAGGACUUUUGGGGUGAAAUCUUACAGGCUAUUUUGUGCAGAAGUGAGAUUGGCAAUCACAGCAGUCCCUUCUGGCCUUAAAAAUAUGUGAAUUUCCUGUUUGUUUCCAGGCAGUUUGGGUCAGUCUUAGUGUACACCAAAAUCUUGACUUUCUUCUUUGGUGUUAGGAGGAUGUGUGUUUUGGCAACAUUAAAAUAUAAAGUGAAGAGACCCAAAUAUCCCCCUUGAAACACUUUAAAUUGUCACAUCAGUCAGUGUGCUGAAGUUGCCAGUGUGAAUGUAUUUGAUUAUUAAAAGGAUAUUGUUAAGAAUGUAUUUAAGCAUGUAAAUUGCAGGAUUAAAAAUGUUGGCAAAUCAGCAACUUCAUUGUGAUUUUGAGCGACUUAAUUUGUCUAGUUCAUGCAAUAGACUUUAACUUUCUAAACGUAAUUAAAAGCAUGCUGGCAACUCAAAACAUUCUACCAUUUUUAAAAAGAUUGCUAUUUUUUCCUUGUAAUCCCUGUUACUCCUGUGAAUAUUAGGGAGAUUGAGGAGAUUCUUCCAUGUUUGGUUUUUGGUUUUUUUUCCCAUUUAUUUGCUUUAUGAUUAUGACAGCUGUUUGUGGGUAACUAGUUUAGUAUUUCUGAUGAUGACUUAUUUUCCCUUUCUGGGGAAAAAUUUGGGAGUUCAUGUCUACUGUCCUUCCCAUUGAGGGCAUCUGUAGAAAUCUCAGUGGGAUACUCUCUUGUAAGCUGUGCAGAAGUAAUUCAGUAUCAGCAUUGAGGACAGGAUUAUCCCUCUCCUUGUCAGCACUUCUUUCUGCAUUGCUAUUUUGGAUUUGGUUAAAAUAUUCUCCUAAAAUCAGUAUGGAGACAGAGAAACCUGUGAAACAAGCUUUAAAACAUACUGAUAUUUAUCACUGGAAGUUCUUACCAAGCACCACUUUCUUUGGCACUGGCCGGUCCUGGGUCUUUCUAAAGAACAACUGAAGCAUUUUGGGAAUUCACCUUUUAAAUAGCUCUCACAUCUAGUACCAGUCUUCAAAUUUCAUACAGCUUUGCACUUAAUUUAUGUUGCUGCUUGGUGUGAUGCCUGCCAUCUUGCUUUUAAAAGUCCAGGCCUGUUUAGUUAGGGAAAAAGUGGUUUGCUUAAUAAUAAAAAUCAUAUAACUUAUAGGAAGCUUUAAUUUCAUAUGGAUGUGGGAAAAAAAGGUUUGCUUC